Molecule: ribosomal RNA, 458 nt
Filed under: uncultured bacterium
Lineage: Bacteria
Description: partial 16S ribosomal RNA
Rfam family: Bacterial small subunit ribosomal RNA
Source: RNAcentral
GGUGAACGCUGGCGGCGUGCUUAAGACAUGCAAGUCGAACGGGCUCUUCGGAGCCAGUGGCGCACGGGUGAGUAACGCGUAACUGACCUACCCCAAAGUCGCGGAUAACGAUUCGAAAGAAUCGCUAAUACGUGAUGUGCUGUCAGAUCCUGUUCUGCCAGUAAAGAUUUAUUGCUUUGGGAUGGGGUUGCGUUCCAUCAGCUAGUUGGUGGGGUAAAGGCCCACUAAGGCGACGACGGAUCGCCGGCCUGAGAGGGUGGCCGGCCACAGGGGCACUGAGACACGGGUGCCACUCCUACGGGAGGCAGCAGUUAGGAAUCUUCCACAAUGGGCGAAAGCCUGAUGGAGCGACGCCGCGUGAGGGAUGAAGGUCUUCGGAUCGUAAACCUCUGAAUCAGGGACGAAAGACGCGAAAGCGGGAUGACGGUACCUGAGUAAUAGCACCGGCUAACUCCGUG